UCGGGAAUUUUGGGCAAUGGGCGAAAGCCUGACCCAGCAACGCCGCGUGAGGGAUGAAGUAUUUCGGUAUGUAAACCUCGAAAGAAUGGGAAGAAUAAAUGACGGUACCAUUUAUAAGCUCCGGCUAACUACGUGCCAGCAGCCGCGGUAAUACGUAGGGAGCAAGCGUUGUUCGGAUUUACUGGGCGUAAAGGGCGCGUAGGCGGCGCGGUAAGUCACUUGUGAAAUCUCUGAGCUUAACUCAGAACGGCCAAGUGAUACUGCUGUGCUAGAGUGCGGAAGAGGCAACCGGAAUUCUUGGUGUAGCGGUGAAAUGCGUAGAUAUCAAGAGGAACACCUGAGGCGAAGGCGGGUCGCUGGGCCGACACUGACGCCGAUGCGCGAAAGCCAGGGGAGCAAACG
RNAcentral lists this ribosomal RNA (402 nucleotides) under uncultured bacterium. Its description in RNAcentral is "bacterial SSU rRNA". It matches the Rfam family "Bacterial small subunit ribosomal RNA", at positions 355 to 774 of the family's 1533-position model. The record is from RNAcentral.